UGAACUUUGAAUCCCAAAUUUCUGAAGUAUGGAACUGUGCAUCCCUGGGAUCAAGACCUCCCUCCAGACCCUGCCGCUUAAAGGUCCCGCCAGCUCUCAACAGCAUCCUCAAACUGGGACCUGGCUCCUGGAGCGUGAAACUUUGGGGUACACACUGAACCGCCAUCCAAACCAUAGCAGGCACUCUGCUGGAAGAGUUACUCUGGCAGCUGAAGUGGGAGGAUUUCAAGUUCCAGGUAUUCAGUGAUUCCUGGACAGCGCCUCCCUGAGCUCUUUUGGCAAACCCAAAUGUCAAAUUGCCUGCUUUCUGCGCAAGCCCAAUGGCUCCUCCGAUCAGCUGUCAAUACAUCAUUUUGCCCGCCCCUUCAACCCCGCCCACUAUCAAAUUCCAAAUAAAGUCCCCUGUCUGGAAGUCUGGAAGCUUCUAGCGGGUGCCUGAGUCUGCAGCAGCUCUCCAGUGCCCUCAAUCAAGGGCUUUUCUCAUCUGCUCUCUCUUUUCUCUCAUGCCAUGGAAGACCAUUCAGCUUUGCCAUUGAGGCAGAAAGGUAGCUAGCUACAUGCAGCACCUACGGGCAAGCACAGCUGUGUGCCAAUAAAACUUUAUUUAUAA
Molecule: long non-coding RNA, 610 nt
Organism: Cavia porcellus (domestic guinea pig)
Lineage: Eukaryota; Metazoa; Chordata; Mammalia; Rodentia; Caviidae
Exons: 4
Source: RefSeq, a predicted model, not a curated record